GACGAACGCUGGCGGCGUGCCUAAUACAUGCAAGUAGAACGCUGAAGAGAGGAGCUUGCUCUUCUUGGAUGAGUUGCGAACGGGUGAGUAACGCGUAGGUAACCUGCCUUGUAGCGGGGGAUAACUAUUGGAAACGAUAGCUAAUACCGCAUAACAAUGGAUGACACAUGUCAUUUAUUUGAAAGGGGCAAUUGCUCCACUACAAGAUGGACCUGCGUUGUAUUAGCUAGUAGGUGAGGUAAUGGCUCACCUAGGCGACGAUACAUAGCCGACCUGAGAGGGUGAUCGGCCACACUGGGACUGAGACACGGCCCAGACUCCUACGGGAGGCAGCAGUAGGGAAUCUUCGCCAAUGGGGGCAACCCUGACCGAGCAACGCCGCGUGAGUGAAGAAGGUUUUCGGAUCGUAAAGCUCUGUUGUAAGUCAAGAACGGGUGUGAGAGUGGAAAGUUCACACUGUGACGGUAGCUUACCAGAAAGGGACGGCUAACUACGUG
RNAcentral lists this ribosomal RNA (497 nucleotides) under uncultured bacterium. RNAcentral's name for it is "partial 16S ribosomal RNA". It matches the Rfam family "Bacterial small subunit ribosomal RNA", at positions 28 to 507 of the family's 1533-position model. The record is from RNAcentral.